Molossus molossus (Pallas's mastiff bat) is the source of this 159-nucleotide small nuclear RNA. RefSeq annotates it as U1 spliceosomal RNA. The transcript has a single exon. The record is from RefSeq and is a predicted model, not a curated record. Lineage: Eukaryota; Metazoa; Chordata; Mammalia; Chiroptera; Molossidae.
AUACUUACCUGGCAGGGGAGACGCCAUGAUCACAAAGGUGGUUUUCCCAGGGCGAGGCUUUAUUCACUGCGUUUCAGGUGUGCUGACUCCUGCAGUUUCUCCCCGCCGUGUGAAAUGACUGCAUAAUUUGUGGGGGGACUGUGUUCUCACUUUCCCCUA